GAUGAACGCUGGCGGCGUGCCUAAUACAUGCAAGUCGAGCGAACAGACGAGAAGCUUGCUCCUCUGAUGUUAGCGGCGGACGGGUGAGUAACACGUGGAUAACCUACCUAUAAGACUGGGAUAACUUCGGGAAACCGUAGCUAAUACCGGAUAAUAUUUUGAACCGCAUGGUUCAAUAGUGAAAGACGGUCUUGCUGUCACUUAUAGAUGGAUCCGCGCUGCAUUAGCUAGUUGGUAAGGUAACGGCUUACCAAGGCAACGAUGCAUAGCCGACCUGAGAGGGUGAUCGGCCACACUGGAACUGAGACACGGUCCAGACUCCUACGGGAGGCAGCAGUAGGGAAUCUUCCGCAAUGGGCGAAAGCCUGACGGAGCAACGCCGCGUGAGUGAUGAAGGUCUUCGGAUCGUAAAACUCUGUUAUUAGGGAAGAACAAAUGUGUAAGUAACUGUGCACGUCUUGACGGUACCUAAUCAGAAAGCCACGGCUAACUACGUG
This 497-nucleotide ribosomal RNA is filed under the name uncultured bacterium. RNAcentral describes it as "partial 16S ribosomal RNA". It matches the Rfam family "Bacterial small subunit ribosomal RNA", at positions 28 to 507 of the family's 1533-position model. The record is from RNAcentral.